This 4580-nucleotide long non-coding RNA is filed under the name Physcomitrium patens. Its description in RNAcentral is "long non-coding RNA (PPAT_LNC013063)". The record is from RNAcentral. Lineage: Eukaryota; Viridiplantae; Streptophyta; Bryopsida; Funariales; Funariaceae.
AGAUUGGCCAACACUUGAGUGGAUUUUAGGAUUUUUCUUCUAAUUGAUAAAAGAAUUAUCUUCAAAUUUUGUGUACUUAUUGCUAACUUAGUUUUUGAAAAGUGUGUAAAUUUUUAAGUAAGAUCAAUGGUUUGAUUGAUAGAUAUUGAUGUUCUAAAUAGUACUAGGAAUAAAUUGAGUUGGUUAGGAUUUGGUUAGGAUUUGGUUUAGGAUUAAGAUUUGAUUUAAGGUUUGGUUUAGGAUUUGAUUUAAGUUCUAGGAUUUAUCUAGGAUUUGAUUUAAGAUUUAGAAUUUAUCUAAGAUUUGGUUUAGAAUUUAGGAUUUGUCUAGGAUUUGGUUUAGCAUUUAGGAUUUAUCUAGGAUUUCGUUUAAGAUUUAGAAUUUGUUUAGGGUUUGAUUUAGGGUUUAGAAUUUUUUUAGGAUUUAGUUUAGGAUUUAGGAUUUAACUAGAGUUUGGUUUAAGAUUAAAGAUUUGUUUAGAAUUUGAUUUAAGAUUUGUCUCAAAUUUGAUUUAAGAUUUGAUUUAAGGUUUAAAAUUUAUUUAGGAUUUGAUUUAGAUUUUAGGAUUUGUCUAGGAUUUAGUUUAGGAUUUGAGAUUUGUCUAAGGUUUGAUCUACAAUUUAAUUUAGAGUUUAGGAUUUAUUUAGGAUUUGAUUGAAAUUCAUUAGGAUUCAAUUAGGAUUAAAUUAGAACUUGGUUGAAAUUUAUUUAAGAUAUAUUUUUAAUUAUUCUAGUAUUUUUUAAAAUUUCUUAGAUUCUUUUAAGGUUUAUUGUAGAUUUUCUUUCAACUCCUUUAAGAUUUCUUAUUAUUUCUUUUGUAAUUUCUUUAAGAUUUCUUUUGAAUUUUAUUAAAAAUUAUUUAACAUUAUUAAAGUUUAAUUAAAAUUUAUUUAGUAUUCUAUUAGAGUUAAGAUUUUUUUGUAGCAAUUUCCAUUCUAUCUUCCACAACUAGGUGCCCGAUACAUUUGCAAGUAAGACUUCAUACAAUACGUUAUUUUUAUAUUGUUUAUUGAAGAAAGGGUGGAAGUUUCAAUGGAAUAUUGAGCAAAAUAAGAUGAUAAAAAAGUUGAAAAAUUAAAAAAUUAAAAAAAAUUCUUUCUUUACUUCAAACUUUAAAAAAAUUAAUUAUAAUUUAAGGAGACUAGUGGUACUAAAAGUUAAUAUAAGUCCAAUUAGAAUAGAUUGAAUAGUUGGAUAAGAUGAUGAAUAAAGGAAUAAAUAUGUAGUAAGGUUUAGAACAAAGGUUUGAAUAUUAAAAAAAGAAAAUAUGUACAAAUCAAAAGAAAAUUAUGGAGUAUAGUAAUAGUUAUGAAAAAUAAAAAAAUACUUGAUUAAUAUAUUAAUAGUUAUAAAAAUAGAUUAUCUAUAUUUAUUAGAUAUAAUUAUAAAUUUUUUAAUUUUUAAUAUUGCUAUAUUAAGAUAGAUAGCAUAUAUAAAAUAUAUGAAUCCAAAAUUUAAGUACAUUAUAAAGAAAGAUAAUUCAAUUGCGGAUAUAUUAUUAAGAGCUUGGUAUUAUGAUGAAAAAAAUAUGAUUGAUUUCAAAGAUGAUGUAGAUACAAACUUUCAUACUAAUAUAUUAUAAAAAAAAAAGGUAUAUUUUUGAAUACACAAUUAAAAAUAUUUUUAAAAAAUUUAUGUAAAGAUGAAUAGAAAGAUGUUGGAAAGUAUUUAAGCAAAUUAAAGCAACAAUGGAGUUUGACAAAUCAAGAUUUAAAAAAAAAUUGUAAGUAAGUCUAUAGAUAUUUUUUACACAAUGGAUAUUUAUGGGAGCAUUCAAAGAAGAAAGGAAAAGUACUAAAAUGGGUGAUAUGUAGUUUAGAAGCUGAGCCAAAGAUUAUUAAAGAAUUUCAUAAAAGUUUAUAAGCAAGAUAUAGAAGAAUUUAGGCAAUUUUUACUAAAUUGAAGGAAAAGUAUUGGUGAAAAUGCAUAUAUAAUUAUGUAGUAGAUUUUAUAGGAUUAUGUGAGAUUUUACAACUUUAUUCUAAUAUUUGGCAACAAAAUGGAUUAUAUCCAACUUAUUUUUUAGAUCUAUAUUAUAAGUAGAUAAUAAAUUUAACAUCAAUACCUAUGGGACUUAGAUAAAUGAAGUAUUUAAUAUUUAUACGUAAUUUAUUAAAUAUAAUUGAAAGAUGAGAAUUAAGAAUAAAAAGUACUAAAAGUAUAUGUCAAUUUUUCUUAAAAGAAAUUAUUUGUUGAUAUAGUUGUAUUAGAAAAAUCAGUGCAGAUAGAAGUGAACUGGAUUCAAAAGAAAUAAGAAAAUUCUUUAAGAUAAUAGAAAUUAAACUUUCUUUGAUAAUAGUAUAUAAUCUAGGAGGUAAAGGAAAGAAUGAAUAUAGACAUUCACCUAUUAUUAAGACAUUAGUAAAGGCAUAUAAUGACAAAGUACAUUAGUAGCCUAGGCUACUAUCAUUUAUAUUAUGUGCACACUAUACAACUCAUAAUAUGGUGAUUAGUUAUAUAUCUUAUGAAUUAAUAUAUGGGAAAAAGCCAAUUAUACCAAUAGAAGAAACAAUAUCUACAUGGAGAGUGUUGCUUUGAAAAGAUGAUCUUAAUAGAGAGGAAAUUUUAGCAUUAUAGAUUCAAUAAUUAGAAAAAAAUCUAAAAAUAUUGAAGUAGCAAUAAAAAAGUUAAAAGAAGCAAAGAAAAAUAGUAAAGAAAGAUUUAAUAAAAUGCAUCAACUACCGCAUAAACCAAUUUAAGGAGGUGAUUGGAUCUUAAUCUAUGAUAAUAGUUUGGAUAACCAAUAUAAUAUAUUUUACAAAAGUUUUUUAAGCUUUGAUUUGAAUUAUAUAUUGUAAGAGAUGUUUAUAAUAAUGAUACAUAUAUAUUUCAUAAACUUAAUAAAACAAAAUUGAAGACAUCUAUAGUAAAAAAGUGAAUCAAAGUGAGAGUGGAAGACGAGAUUGAAGUCCAAGAAUUUAACCAAGAUAAUAAGUGUACUACAUCAACAUAUUAAAAAUUUAUUAGUAAAUGCCAAAAAGAUGCAUAUAUUUAAGGAGAUAGAUAUUGUAUAAUAAUAUGGCAAUUAGGUUAAAUAUAUAUAUAUAUAUAUAUAUUAAAGAAAAGCUUAAUUUAAAAGAUAUAGUAGAAAAAUAUAAAUAAAAGAUAAUAAAGUAAUAAAAUCUUAUAGUAUUAGAAUUAAUUUUUUAAAAAAUAGAUUCUAUUUAAUUUUUAUAGCCAUGAAUAAAAAAAAUAAGAUAGAUAAAAAAAUAAAGAAUAUAAAUAUAUAUAAGAAGAAGUUAAGAAUUGAUUUUAGUAAAAUAAACUUUAAAAAAAUAAAAAAUAAUAUUUAGAGAUGGCCAAUUACUAAUUAGGAUUGAAAUUAGAUCUUUAUGCACAAAACCAAGCAUCUAUGCUAUUUUUAAGGUCUUUUUGAAAAUUAGAAAGUAGAAUUUGAGAAUAAACUAGAUUAGGCUUUUUUGAGCAUUAAUUUUGAAGGAUUUGAGUUUGUAAUGACUUUGUAAGAAUUUUGCAAAGUUACGGUUUUUUUAGGUGACUCUAGUUGUAAAAUAAAAUAGGAUUGGUAUUUUAGAUAAUUUUUUAAGUUUUGUAAUACAUUUAUGAAUAAAAAUUUAUAGAUUUAUGAGUAUAGUUGUACUAAAUGUAUACUAUGAGUAUGAACUUUAUUAAAUGGUUAUGUUUAAGAUUAUUAAAUUUUAAGUGGAUUAAGAUCUUAAAAAUUAGAGUUUAAAGGUCAAUGAGAAUUUCUAAGAUAUUUAAUAAUUUAUUAGUUGGAUUAAAAUAUAAAUUAUUUAUAAAAAUUGUAUAUUUGAUUUUAAAUAUUUAUGUGAAAUUUGAAAGUAUCUCAAUGGUUUAAAAAAGAUAUGUUGGGGCUAAGACCUUGGUAUCAAGAUUGAAAAAGGAGAUUGCCAAACAUUCAAAUGAAUUAUCUUGUAUUUCUCGUAAUAGAUAAGUACCAUUGAUUUUAUUUUUUUUAUACUUUUUAGAAGUUGUAAAAGAGUGUAAAAUUUUUGAGUUGAUAUCAAGAAUUUGAUUAUUAGUUGUUGACACUUCAAUCUAUUAUAGGAUUUAAUAAGAAUUUAUUUAGAAUUUAUGAUUUGAUUAGAUUUGGUCUAAGAGUUAGGAUUUACUUAGGAUUUAUUUAGAAUUUGUUUAGAGCUUAGUUAGAAUUUAUUAGGGUUUGAUUAGGAUUUGAUUUAAAAUUUGAAUAGAAUUUAGAGUUUGAUUAGAGUUUGAUUUAGGAUUAAGAUUUAGGAUUUGAUUAAAAUUUUAUUUAGAUUUUAGCUAGAAUUUAUUAGGAUUUGAUUAAGAUUUGAUAAGAAUUUAAGAUUUUACUAAGAUUUAAUAAAAAGAUAUAGAAUUCGAUUAAAAUUUGGUUAGGAUUGAUUUAAGAUUUAUUUAAGGCUUGAUUAAAAUUGGUUUAGGAUUUAAUUAGGGCUUGAUUAGAAUUGGUUUAGAAUUUGAUUAAGAUUUGAUUUAAGAUUUGAUUAGAGUUUAGAAUUUUUUAAAGGCUUGAUAAGGAUUGAUUUAGGAUUUUAUUAGGGCUUGAUUUAGGAUUUAUUUAGGAUUGGUUUGAAAUUUUAUUAGAAUUUGUUGAAGAUUAUAUUAAUAUUUGAUUA